CCCUUAGAUGUUCUGGGCCGCACACGCGUUACACUGAAGGAGGCAGCGUGUACUCCUGGAUCGAAAGAUUUGGGUAACCCGCGAAUCUCCUUCGUGCUAGGGAUUGAGGUUUGCAAUUAUCCUUCAUGAACGAGGAAUUCCCAGUAAGUGCAAGUCAUAAGCUUGCGCUGACUACGUCCCUGCCCUUUGUACACACCGCCCGUCGCUACUACCGAUUGAAUGAUUUAGUGAGGACUUCGGACUGGGACCGAUGCGGCUUUCGGGCUGCGUCGGUAUUCUGGAAAGAUGUCCAAACUGUAUCAUUUAGAGGAAGUAAAAGUCGUAACA
This 327-nucleotide ribosomal RNA is filed under the name uncultured eukaryote. Its description in RNAcentral is "partial 18S ribosomal RNA". It matches the Rfam family "Eukaryotic small subunit ribosomal RNA", at positions 1470 to 1796 of the family's 1831-position model. The record is from RNAcentral.